GUUUGAUCAUGGCUCAGAUUGAACGCUGGCGGCAGGCCUAACACAUGCAAGUCGAGCGGCAGCGGGAGGAAGCUUGCUUCCUGGCCGGCGAGCGGCGGACGGGUGAGUAAGGUAUGGGGAUCUGGCCGAAGGCGGGGGAUAACCACUGGAAACGGUGGCUAAUACCGCAUAAUCUCUAAGGAGCAAAGUGGGGGACCAUUAGGCCUCACACCUUCGGAUGAACCCAUAUGAGAUUAGCUAGUAGGUGGGGUAAGGGCUCACCUAGGCGACGAUCUCUAGCUGGUCUGAGAGGAUGAUCAGCCACACUGGGACUGAGACACGGCCCAGACUCCUACGGGAGGCAGCAGUGGGGAAUAUUGCACAAUGGGCGCAAGCCUGGUGCAGCCAUGCCGCGUGUAUGAAAAAGGCCUUCGGGUUGUAAAGUACUUUCAGUCGUGAGGAAGGUGUUAAGGUUAAUAGCUUUAGCAAUUGACGUUAGCGACAGAAGAAGCACCGGCUAACUCCGUGCCAGCAGCCGCGGUAAUACGGAGGGUGCGAGCGUUAAUCGGAAUUACUGGGCGUAAAGGGCACGCAGGCGGUUAAUUAAGUUGGAUGUGAAAU
This 600-nucleotide ribosomal RNA is filed under the name uncultured bacterium. RNAcentral's name for it is "bacterial SSU rRNA". It matches the Rfam family "Bacterial small subunit ribosomal RNA", at positions 11 to 600 of the family's 1533-position model. The record is from RNAcentral.